This is a non-coding RNA of Hydra vulgaris (swiftwater hydra), 449 nucleotides long. NCBI's taxonomy places the organism in Eukaryota, Metazoa, Cnidaria, Hydrozoa, Anthoathecata, Hydridae. The record is from RefSeq and is a predicted model, not a curated record.
UAACAUUUUGCGUUAUGUUGUUACUGAUGUUCUGUUAUAUAUGAAUUUUAUGUUUCUUAAGUUAUGUUAUAUGCAUAUUAUAUGAACUUAUGGUGAAUGCUAUUGUUGUUGUGAUGUUUUUUGUAAUCUUUUGAGUUGAUAUACAUUUGGUUUACCUUCAAGUUGUUGUCUACUGUUAAAAAUGAUACAUAGUUAAUUUCAUUAUUAGACCUCACUGCAUUUAAUCAUUCACUAAAAUUAAUAUUUAGAUUCACUAAAAGCCUACUACUACUACUCUGGUAAAUCACAUCAGCUUUAUCAGAAUUUAGAAAAAUGAAUUAAACUACAACUUUUGAACAGUCAUUGUUUGUGAAGUUGCCUUUGUUAUCACUUGAUUAGUUUGCUUACUGUUGAAACAUGGUUUUAAUUUUGUAAAUUUAAUGAUAUGAAAUUUACUCUAUUAAUCAUUA